RNAcentral lists this transfer RNA (73 nucleotides) under Geckolepis petiti. Its description in RNAcentral is "tRNA-Gln". It matches the Rfam family "tRNA". From Rfam's summary of the family: Transfer RNA (tRNA) molecules are approximately 80 nucleotides in length. Their secondary structure includes four short double-helical elements and three loops (D, anti-codon, and T loops). Further hydrogen bonds mediate the characteristic L-shaped molecular structure. tRNAs have two regions of fundamental functional importance: the anti-codon, which is responsible for specific mRNA codon recognition, and the 3' end, to which the tRNAs corresponding amino acid is attached (by aminoacyl-tRNA synthetases). tRNAs cope with the degeneracy of the genetic code in two manners: having more than one tRNA (with a specific anti-codon) for a particular amino acid; and 'wobble' base-pairing, i.e. permitting non-standard base-pairing at the 3rd anti-codon position. Lineage: Eukaryota; Metazoa; Chordata; Lepidosauria; Squamata; Gekkonidae. The record is from RNAcentral.
UAGGGGGUAGUAUAAUUCGGUAGUACGCAAGGUUUUGAGUCUUGUAGUGCGGGUUCGGACCCCGGGCCCCUAG